This 261-nucleotide ribosomal RNA is filed under the name uncultured archaeon. RNAcentral describes it as "partial 16S ribosomal RNA". It matches the Rfam family "Archaeal small subunit ribosomal RNA", at positions 748 to 1009 of the family's 1478-position model. The record is from RNAcentral.
CAGCCGUAAACUAUGCGCGUUAGGUGUAUCGGUGACCACGAGUUACCGAGGUGCCGAAGGGAAACCGUGAAACGUGCCGCCUGGGAAGUACGGUCGCAAGGCUGAAACUUAAAGGAAUUGGCGGGGGAGCACAACAACGGGUGGAGCCUGCGGUUUAAUUGGACUCAACGCCGGACAACUCACCGGGAACGACAGCAAUAUGUAGGCCAAGCUGAAGACCUUGCCUGAAUCGCUGAGAGGAGGUGCAUGGCGUAGACGUCU